CCCGACCCGGCAGCGACAUCUCCCGGCAGCCUAACGACGCCGCACGUCCGGAGUGUGAGGGCUCUGGCUGGCACACCACUCGGAGAGUUUGAAGGAGUAAUACAGGACACCGCAGGAGGAGUCUACAAAACAGCUCACCCCCGUUCAAAGCAAAUGUUGCAGAGACUAUUGUCGUGUAUUCCACAUGUGUGAUAUUGGCCUUAUCAGAUUUAUAUGAGCUAUUUAUUGUGACGCUGCCAUUGAAUGAUGCUCCAAGCACCGUAUUAGGUAUAUCUGUAUAAGGAAAUACUACAUAAUUCAUGUACGUUAUCCUUGUCACUGAAUUCAUACUUUAUCUCCUUUCCUAAGUGCUGUUUAUUUACAUUUACUUCUAUCUUAAUUCAUUAUGUUAUGACAGGCUGAUGAAAAGUAGUUAAAUAUUUCUGAGGCAGAGAAUAAAGCUAAUUUAAUGUUGCUGUUGUUAAACGUGCAAAAGUAUCUAUCAUGGUGCUGUAGGCACGUGUCCUUAUAUGUAAGUAAUCUGGCACUCUGUGUAUGUGUCCCUAUUUGUUUAUAAACAAAUAAACCCCCAAUUUUGCAUUCAAUAA
Dicentrarchus labrax (European seabass) is the source of this 587-nucleotide long non-coding RNA. RefSeq lists it as uncharacterized. Lineage: Eukaryota; Metazoa; Chordata; Actinopteri; Moronidae. The record is from RefSeq and is a predicted model, not a curated record. The transcript has 2 exons.